This 134-nucleotide ribosomal RNA is filed under the name Neogale vison (American mink). Lineage: Eukaryota; Metazoa; Chordata; Mammalia; Carnivora; Mustelidae. The record is from RNAcentral.
GUCUACGGCCAUACCACCCUGAACGCGUCCGAUCUUGUCUGAUCUCGGAAGCUAAGCAGGGUUGGGCCUGGUUAGUACUUGGAUGGGAGCUCAUGAGAGCCUCUUUUAGAGGAGCUGGAAGGUGGCAGAAGGCU